CUGUUCGGGCCUCUGUUUCAUCGCUCGACUAGGGGAAACCCUUUCCCCCACCCCGCGAUAGGAGCCAGACGAGGCAGCACGCGAGAAACCUCGACGGCGACGCGCAGAUUGAUUUCAUCACCACAGGGACGGGUUGAGGUGAAAAAAUUCAUGCUUUACUCUGUCAGUUGAGAUGUUGAAUAUGUGAUGCUCUAUCCUGCUCAUGUGAUGAUUGAACAAUUGAUGUUUCUCUCUCUCAAUUGAUAUGUUGUGUCCUGCUCAUGUGUAGAUUUAAUAGUGCAUGCUUUCUUUGUCAAAUGAGAUGGUGAAAUAAUGAUGUUGUGUGCUGCUAAUGCCAAGUUCAUAAUUAGUGUUUGUGUAUGUGUGCAUUGUAGCUCCAUAAUGUCUCAAAUGGACUUAAUUGCUUCCAUUACCGAAGAGAACAAAAGAAGAAACAUGAAAAGGACUGUAUUGACAACAAUGUAUAUUGAGUCAGUUUGUCUUGCACUAGCUUAUCUUAGUAUGC
Long non-coding RNA from Triticum dicoccoides, 505 nucleotides. RefSeq lists it as uncharacterized. The record is from RefSeq and is a predicted model, not a curated record. NCBI's taxonomy places the organism in Eukaryota, Viridiplantae, Streptophyta, Magnoliopsida, Poales, Poaceae. The transcript has 2 exons.